RNAcentral lists this long non-coding RNA (352 nucleotides) under Salvia miltiorrhiza (redroot sage). Its description in RNAcentral is "long non-coding RNA (SMIL_LNC001047)". The record is from RNAcentral. Lineage: Eukaryota; Viridiplantae; Streptophyta; Magnoliopsida; Lamiales; Lamiaceae.
GAAAACCUGCUUCGGCAGAAAAUGAGCUUUAGUGGCAAUUCAGCCACGCUUCGGAGGGGAAAGCCUUAAGUAGAAUUUGGGUCUUCUCAGCGCAGUCAGGAUAUUUAUCUCAGCUACCUCUGCGCAGUUAUCUCAGCGCAGCUAUCUCAGCGCAGCUAUCUCAGUUAUCUUAGCUACCUCAGUUAUCUUAGCUACCUCAGGGCAGCUACCUCAGCGCAACUAUCUCAGCGCAGCUAUCUCAGCACAGUCAGGGCAGCUAUCUCAGCACAGUCAGGGCAUCUAUCUCAGCUAUCUCAGAGCAGUUAUCUAGUUAUCUCAGCUACCUCAGCGCUGCUAUCUCAGCGCAGUCAGG